GACGAACGCUGGCGGCGUGCCUAAUACAUGCAAGUUGAGCGCUGAAGGUUGGUCCUUGUACCAACUGGAUGAGCAGCGAACGGGUGAGUAACGCGUGGGGAAUCUGCCUUUGAGCGGGGGACAACAUUUGGAAACGAAUGCUAAUACCGCAUAAAAACUUUAAACACAAGUUUUAAGUUUGAAAGAUGCAAUUGCAUCACUCAAAGAUGAUCCCGCGUUGUAUUAGCUAGUUGGUGAGGUAAAGGCUCACCAAGGCGAUGAUACAUAGCCGACCUGAGAGGGUGGUCGGCCACACUGGGACUGAGACACGGGCCAAACUCCUACGGGGGGCAGCAGUAGGGAAUCUUCGGCAAUGGACGAAAGUCUGACCGAGCAACGCCGCGUGAGUGAAGAAGGUUUUCGGAUCGUAAAACUCUGUUGGUAGAGAAGAACGUUGGUGAGAGUGGAAAGCUCAUCAAGUGACGGUAACUACCCAGAAAGGGACGGCUAACUACGUG
RNAcentral lists this ribosomal RNA (497 nucleotides) under uncultured bacterium. RNAcentral's name for it is "partial 16S ribosomal RNA". It matches the Rfam family "Bacterial small subunit ribosomal RNA", at positions 28 to 507 of the family's 1533-position model. The record is from RNAcentral.